AAAACCAACAAUAUUCGAAGAUCCCGCCGGCAGUUGUGACAAUUAAUUUUGGGGACGCUCAAAGGCUCCCAAUUGUCCACCGGCGUCAGUAAACCGAGUGUAGAGGUGGAAGUGGUGGCUCGAGGAAAACCCAGGGCAGGCCGAGCAAAAGUCCGAGUGGACUAUUCCGUGUCCACUAUUAAAGAACUCCAGGUGGCUCAACUAAGGAAGUCCAACCAAAGGCGGACGGAGGAGCACCGAGGAAGGAGAAGAAAUCCCGGCCUAAAAUAGGCUAAUCGCAGCAAGUUCGCUUCGAACCGAAGCUAGGUUCGAGCGAACGGAGGAGCGCAGAGGAGGCGCUAACCGCAGUGUAGCGCGAUAUUCAAGAACGGGAGGGAGGAAAACAUCGGAGGUGUCCCAGUAAAAGGUCCAGGCUGAAUGGAUAUUCCAGCUUUGGAUCCGGUCCGUAGUGUCCCUGGCCAGUGAUUUCAAGGAGCCAUAUUAGAGAAGCAGUGUAAACCCAAAGUGAAAUGGAUAAGAUUUAAGCAAGAAAAAAAAACAAGAAAAAAAUCGGAAGAAACCCGGAAAAAAAAAAAAAGUUUAAGGAAGCAAAGAAAAGUUUUAACGUAACGUUCCUAAUGGCUUGAUCGGGAAACAAGGCUAGUCAGAGGAAAUUCAAUGUCGCUUCAAAUUGUGUUAUUGUUUUCGUGGUUUUAUUUAAUUGUGCCGCCCCAGUGGGGAAUAAUUUGUAAGGCAUAAAAACUUUGUUUCACCGCCCCCCCCC
This is a long non-coding RNA of Drosophila ananassae, 763 nucleotides long. RefSeq lists it as uncharacterized. The transcript is spliced from 2 exons. Lineage: Eukaryota; Metazoa; Arthropoda; Insecta; Diptera; Drosophilidae. The record is from RefSeq and is a predicted model, not a curated record.